CCUACGGGUGGCAGCAGUGAGGAAUAUUGGACAAUGGAGGCAACUCUGAUCCAGCCAAGCCGCGUGGGUGAGGAAGUACUUCGGGAUGUAAAGCUCUAUCAGCUGGGAAGAAAAUGACGGUACCUGACUAAGAAGCCCCGGCUAACUCCGUGCCAGCAACCGCGGUAAUACGUAGGGGGCAAGCGUUAUCCGGAUUUACUGGGCGUAAAGGGAGCGUAGACGGGGUGUUAAGGCUGGUGUGAACGGCCGGGGCUCAACCGUGGGAUUGCAGUGGAAACUGGUAGGCUUGAGUGCCGGAGGGGAUAGCGGAAUUCCUGGUGUAGCGGUGAAAUGCGUAGAUAUUAGGAGGAACACCGGUGGCGAAGGCGACUUGCUGGACGGUAACUGACGUUGAGGCUCGAAAGCGUGGGGAGCAAACAGGAUUAGAUACCCGGGUAGUC
Molecule: ribosomal RNA, 440 nt
Filed under: uncultured bacterium
Lineage: Bacteria
Description: partial 16S ribosomal RNA
Rfam family: Bacterial small subunit ribosomal RNA
Source: RNAcentral